This 81-nucleotide small RNA is filed under the name Flavobacterium sp. KMS. RNAcentral's name for it is "Flavo-1 RNA". It matches the Rfam family "Flavo-1 RNA". The record is from Rfam by way of RNAcentral. Lineage: Bacteria; Pseudomonadati; Bacteroidota; Flavobacteriia; Flavobacteriales; Flavobacteriaceae.
UUUUAGCCCUGACAGCAGCGAUAUCCUUUUCCUGUCCGCCGCGGCGGACAGGAAAAGAUAAAGCGUAUGGCGGGUCCCGAU